UCCAGACUCCUACGGGAGGCAGCAGUGGGGAAUAUUGCGCAAUGGGGGAAACCCUGAUGCAGCGACGCCGCGUGAGCGAUGAAGUAUUUCGGUAUGUAAAGCUCUAUCAGCAGGGAAGAAGAUGACGGUACCUGACUAAGAAGCCCCGGCUAACUACGUGCCAGCAGCCGCGGUAAUACGGAGGAUGCGAGCGUUAUCCGGAUUUAUUGGGUUUAAAGGGUGCGUAGGCGGGCUUUUAAGUCAGCGGUAAAAAGUCGGGGCUCAACCCCGUCCGGCCGUUGAAACUGGGGGCCUUGAGUGGGCGAGAAGAAGGCGGAAUGCGUGGUGUAGCGGUGAAAUGCAUAGAUAUCACGCAGAACUCCGAUUGCGAAGGCAGCAUACCGGCGCCCUACUGACGCUGAGGCACGAAAGCGUGGGUAUCGAACAGGAUUAGAUACCCCAGUAC
RNAcentral lists this ribosomal RNA (445 nucleotides) under uncultured bacterium. RNAcentral describes it as "bacterial SSU rRNA". It matches the Rfam family "Bacterial small subunit ribosomal RNA", at positions 330 to 793 of the family's 1533-position model. The record is from RNAcentral.